GAUGAACGCUGGCGGCGUGCUUAACACAUGCAAGUCGAGCGAAGCACUUUAUUUGAUUUCCUUCGGGACUGAUUAUUUUGUGACUGAGUGGCGGACGGGUGAGUAACGCGUGGGUAACCUGCCUUGUACAGGGGGAUAACAGUUGGAAACGGCUGCUAAUACCGCAUAAGCGCACGGCAUCGCAUGAUGCAGUGUGAAAAACUCCGGUGGUAUAAGAUGGACCCGCGUUGGAUUAGCUAGUUGGUGAGGUAACGGCCCACCAAGGCGACGAUCCAUAGCCGACCUGAGAGGGUGACCGGCCACAUUGGGACUGAGACACGGCCCAAACUCCUACGGGAGGCAGCAGUGGGGAAUAUUGCACAAUGGGCGAAAGCCUGAUGCAGCGACGCCGCGUGAGCGAAGAAGUAUUUCGGUAUGUAAAGCUCUAUCAGCAGGGAAGAUAAUGACGGUACCUGACUAAGAAGCACCGGCUAAAUACGUG
This 481-nucleotide ribosomal RNA is filed under the name uncultured bacterium. RNAcentral's name for it is "partial 16S ribosomal RNA". It matches the Rfam family "Bacterial small subunit ribosomal RNA", at positions 28 to 507 of the family's 1533-position model. The record is from RNAcentral.